This 443-nucleotide ribosomal RNA is filed under the name uncultured bacterium. RNAcentral describes it as "partial 16S ribosomal RNA". It matches the Rfam family "Bacterial small subunit ribosomal RNA", at positions 338 to 795 of the family's 1533-position model. The record is from RNAcentral.
CCUACGGGUGGCAGCAGUGGGGAAUAUUGGGCAAUGGAGGCAACUCUGACCCAGCAACGCCGCGUGAAUGAUGAAGGUCUUCGGAUUGUAAAGCUCUUUGAGGGGGGAUGAACACAAUGACUGUACCCCAAUAGCAAGCCACCGCUAACUACGUGCAAGCAGCCGCUGUAAGACGUAGGUCGCAAGCGUUAUCCGGAAUCACUGGGUGUAAAGGGUGCGUAGGUGGUUUAGUAAGUUGGGAGUGAAAUUCCGGGGCGCAACCCCGGCUGUACCGCAAAAACUAUUAGACUAGAGUGCAGGAGGGGUAAGUGGAAUUCCUAGUGUAGCGGUGGAAUGCGUAGAUAUUAGGAGGAACAUCAGGGGCGAAGGCGACUUACUGGACUGUAACUGACGCUGAGGCACGAAAGCGUGGGGAGCAAACAGGAUUAGAUACCCGUGUAGUC